GCUGGCGGCGUGCUUAACACAUGCAAGUCGAGCGGUAAGGCCCUUCGGGGUACACGAGCGGCGAACGGGUGAGUAACACGUGAGCAACCUGCCCCUGACUCCGGGAUAAGCCGGGGAAACCCGGUCUAAUACCGGAUAGGACGCUUCGUCGCAUGGCGGGGUGUGGAAAGGUUUCUUUCCGGUCAGGGAGGGGCUCGCGGCCUAUCAGCUUGUUGGUGGGGUGAAGGCCUACCAAGGCGAUUACGGGUAGCCGGCCUGAGAGGGCGACCGGCCACACUGGGACUGAGACACGGCCCAGACUCCUACGGGAGGCAGCAGUGGGGAAUAUUGCGCAAUGGGCGGAAGCCUGACGCAGCGACGCCGCGUGGGGGAUGACGGCCUUCGGGUUGUAAACCUCUUUUACCACCGACGCAGGCCCGUGCUUCUGUGCGGGUUGACGGUAGGUGGGGAAUAAGGACCGGCCAACUACGUGCCAGCAGCCGCGGUAAUACGUAGGGUCCGAGCGUUGUCCGGAAUUAUUGGGCGUAAAGAGCUCGUAGGUGGCGUGUCGCGUCUGCUGUGUAAGUCCGGGGCUUAACUCCGGUUUUGCAGUGGAUACGGGCAUGCUAGAGGUAGGCAGGGGAGACUGGAAUUCCUGGUGUAGCGGUGAAAUGCGCAGAUAUCAGGAGGAACACCGGUGGCGAAGGCGGGUCUCUGGGCCUUACCUGACGCUGAGGAGCGAAAGCGUGGGGAGCGAACAGGAUUAGAUAC
Molecule: ribosomal RNA, 750 nt
Filed under: Streptomonospora sp. YIM 90606
Lineage: Bacteria; Bacillati; Actinomycetota; Actinomycetes; Streptosporangiales; Nocardiopsidaceae
Description: bacterial SSU rRNA
Rfam family: Bacterial small subunit ribosomal RNA
Source: RNAcentral